RNAcentral lists this ribosomal RNA (497 nucleotides) under uncultured bacterium. Its description in RNAcentral is "partial 16S ribosomal RNA". It matches the Rfam family "Bacterial small subunit ribosomal RNA", at positions 38 to 507 of the family's 1533-position model. The record is from RNAcentral.
GGGGGGGGGGGGGGGGGGGGCGGGGACAGGCAGGGCGAGCGGGCAGACGGGGAGGUGGCUCCUGUGACGGUAGCGGCGGACGGGGGGGUAACACGUGGAUAACCUACCUAUAAGACUGGGAUAACUUCGGGAAACCGGAGCUAAUACCGGAUAAUAUAUUGAACCGCAUGGUUCAAUAGUGAAAGACGGUUUUGCUGUCACUUAUAGCUGGAUCCGCGCCGCAUUAGCUAGUUGGUAAGGUAACGGCUUACCAAGGCAACGAUGCGUAGCCGACCUGAGCGGGUGAUCGGCCACAAUGGAACUGAGACACGGUCCAGACUCCUACGGGAGGCAGCAGUAGGGAAUCUUCCGCAAUGGGCGAAAGCCUGACGGAGCAACGCCGCGUGAGUGAUGAAGGUCUUCGGAUCGUAAAACUCUGUUAUUAGGGAAGAACAAAUGUGUAAGUAACUAUGCACGUCUUGACGGUACCUAAUCAGAAAGCCACGGCUAACUACGUG